GGAAUACUGAAUUGUUUAAUAUUCAUUAGAUCUAAUUGCACUACACGUUACACUAACUGUAGUGCACGGUCACGAUCAAAAGUACAUUGCACUGUAAGAAGAUAAAUUGUUGGACUUUAGUUAAGUUAAAGUUGACCAAAUCUUUAAGGUUCGCAACUCAAAAAGGCGAUUCUGUAAGGAGGUCCGAAAUAACAACUUCGUCCAACAAGCUUAAAGAUUUGACACAAAAGAAUGCCUGAAACUGACCGCUUUGACUGCAAGCUCUGCAGUAGAUCGAACAA
Armigeres subalbatus is the source of this 281-nucleotide long non-coding RNA. RefSeq lists it as uncharacterized. The record is from RefSeq and is a predicted model, not a curated record. The transcript has 3 exons. NCBI's taxonomy places the organism in Eukaryota, Metazoa, Arthropoda, Insecta, Diptera, Culicidae.